GAUGAACGCUGGCGGCGUGCCUAAUACAUGCAAGUCGAGCGAACAGACGAGGAGCUUGCUCCUUUGACGUUAGCGGCGGACGGGUGAGUAACACGUGGAUAACCUACCUAUAAGACUGGGAUAACUUCGGGAAACCGGAGCUAAUACCGGAUAAUAUUUCGAACCGCAUGGUUCGAUAGUGAAAGAUGGCUUUGCUAUCACUUAUAGAUGGACCUGCGCCGUAUUAGCUAGUUGGUAAGGUAACGGCUUACCAAGGCAACGAUACGUAGCCGACCUGAGAGGGUGAUCGGCCACACUGGAACUGAGACACGGUCCAGACUCCUACGGGAGGCAGCAGUAGGGAAUCUUCCGCAAUGGGCGAAAGCCUGACGGAGCAACGCCGCGUGAGUGAUGAAGGUCUUCGGAUCGUAAAACUCUGUUAUUAGGGAAGAACAAACGUGUAAGUAACUGUGCACGUCUUGACGGUACCUAAUCAGAAAGCCACGGCUAACUACGUG
This 497-nucleotide ribosomal RNA is filed under the name uncultured bacterium. RNAcentral's name for it is "partial 16S ribosomal RNA". It matches the Rfam family "Bacterial small subunit ribosomal RNA", at positions 28 to 507 of the family's 1533-position model. The record is from RNAcentral.